CACAAACAUCCAAUUCCUGGAUCAGAUUGGCUGGAAUUCCCUCACGUUCAUUUCUGAUGAUGAAAAAUGGAAGAAGAAUGGAAAUAUAUCCCAGGUAUCUAGAUACUUCAUAUUUGGAUACAAUGAACUUCAGCUAAUAAAUCAAAAAGGAAUAAGAGAAUUAGAGUAUCACCAUCCUGCUGCUCCUGAAGAAUUCACAGAACGAGGGAAUUCAUCAGUAGCUAACACCCUGAAAGGAGAAACAGAAACAACCUGCUUCCUGGCUGAGAACACAAGUGUCCCAGGCGUGCCCUCCUUCAACCCUGCCCUGCUCCUUUCUCCAGCUCAGAGGGCGAUCACUCCUGACCACACUUAGAAGGCCCACUCCGCCCUGGAUACAAUCUUUUUCUACUUUCUCUAGGAUUAUUCUUUCAUUUUUCUUUAUUUUCAAAUUACCUUUUCAUUUAUUAGUUGCUCUGUUCAUUUUCGUCAUCUUCAAAAAACAAUUUGGCAUGAGCCAGUGUCUAAUAUAUAAAUUUUCUGGGCAGUCCCAGUGGCGCAGCGGUUUAGUGCCACCUGCAGCCCAGGGUGUGAUCCUGGAGACCCAGGAUCAAGUCCCAUGUCGGGCUCUCUGCAUGGAGCCUGCUUCUCCCUCUGCCUGUGUUUCUGCAUCCCCCCCCCCCCCCGCCCCGUG
This is a long non-coding RNA of Nyctereutes procyonoides (raccoon dog), 673 nucleotides long. RefSeq lists it as uncharacterized. The transcript has 3 exons. Lineage: Eukaryota; Metazoa; Chordata; Mammalia; Carnivora; Canidae. The record is from RefSeq and is a predicted model, not a curated record.